RNAcentral lists this long non-coding RNA (1893 nucleotides) under Anas platyrhynchos platyrhynchos (common mallard). RNAcentral describes it as "lncRNA (ENSAPLG00000018554.1)". The record is from RNAcentral. Lineage: Eukaryota; Metazoa; Chordata; Aves; Anseriformes; Anatidae.
CCCAAGAAGCCCCUGCUGCCCAAAAGGAGGCUUUCCACGGUGACGCUUCCUAUGCUGAAACUAGAGGACGGACAGGGAGAGCAAGCUGCAGGAGACAAGCCCCCUGAGAGGUGAGAGAGAUGGAGAGACGUAGCGGGUACUGGUGUGCCCUGGUCAUGGUGGCAGGGAGAUGUUUGUGUCAGCCACACUGCUGGGCAAAGGGCAUGGAAGUUUUCCUGCAGGAGAUAACUGGCAGUUCUGCUUUUCUCCCUAUGUCCCCGUCUCCUUUCACACAGUCCCUGCAACCCUAAGCACAGCAGCGUGACCACUUUCAGGUGCUUAAGCAGUGUGAUGUCUUUCAAGUCACUGUCAGCUGGGGCCUUUGCACAAGACCAUCAUCUCAGAUGAUGCUGUCUUUCUCUUUGUCCCACUCAGAGAGGGCUUAGUCUUGAGCACCUCUUUCUCUGUCUUUGAGAACACAAAUCGUUGGCUAUACAGCUCUGCUGAACAACCACCUUCUACUGCAGAGGAACGGGCUCACAAAGUAGAUGCAAGUGUAUUUGGUGGAGUCCCAACACUACCCGCUUUGUAUUUUUAGUGUGCCACCAGCCAUUGAGAAGGACUAUUCAAAGAAGGGCAUGAAAAAAAUGACGCACCACGUCAGGAGGAAAACUGAAAUCCCUGCCUGCAAAGGCCAUCAGAGAGUAGGACAGGAGGUCUGCUACCUGUGCAUGCAGCAAGAGGAACGAAGUCUGCGGGCAGCCCUGCUGAAGCAGAAGGAAGAGCAAGAAAGGGCUGAGUGGGCAGAACUGCAGGCCUGGCAGGCCAGGAUGGCAGCGCUGCGCGCCCAGGUACUGGCGGUGACCUCAGCCACGCAGAGGACUGGCACUUCUGUCCCCUCUCAGGGCUGCUGAGUUGUUUUCCCAAAACCCGGGGGGCAACUCACUGCUGUCUCUGAGUCUCCUCUGCUCCUGUCCAGGAGAGAGAAUUGCUCAAUACCGGACUCAGUGGACAAUUCGUCAACUAGCAGACAAACACAGCCCUCUCCUUCCUACCUUGAACAUGGGGAGGCUCCACCAAGGCUGCCAGCCCUGGCAUCGGAGCAGCAGCUCUCCCAGGCAAGGGCUAUCCCAGCCCCAGGUGGCUGCCUGCAGGGGAGAGCUGGGCGCAGGGCAGCUCUUCAUGCUCACCUGUUCUGCUACAGGCAUGAUGUACUGGUUUGCCCCUCCUAGUACGGUGAGGUUUUUAAGUCUGAUUUGUAACCAAAACCUCUGGACUUCACCAGCCACCCUGACAUAAAAAGAAACAAGUUUGUUCCUUUGGCUUCAGUGCUUGAAAGACGAAGCCUUCAAUGCUCUUGUGCUUGGAGGAGCAGACUAGGCUGUGUCCGGAGAAAGGCUGCACAAUCCCCAGGUGCCUCCUGUGCUGUGCUAUGCAGGGAUCAUUCCUUUGCUGGCCCCUCAAGCCAAAAUACAUUCCUUUUUUUUUUUUUUUUUUUCUUUCCCUCAUUGCAUAACAGAGAGCACGUGCUGCAUGGAAGCUGGAGGUUGCUAAAACAGCCAAAAAGGAAAACAGAGAAUACGAUUACCUGGUAAGAAGUUUAUAAAAAAGAAAAUGAGGUCCCCAGCAGAUGACUGCUGUGUCUCAGCUGUGCCACUUGGGAAGCGCAGCGAGCCCCUGCUCUGACCUUGGCACCUCCAUGGGGACUUGCAGCGAUGAUUCUCCAAAAUCCCCUGGCAUAUCUGCAGUGUCCCUGAUGCAGUCCCCCACUGGGCUGGUGCUUCUGGGCACGCUCAUUUGCCUGCUGCUUGAUAAGCCUCGCUCUCUCUCCAGAAAUCCUACUGGUCCCCUCCUUCAUCCUACACCAUAAGAAGAGAGUAUGACAGAGAGCUCCAGGAGAGGAGGGAGGUUUGG